This 301-nucleotide long non-coding RNA is filed under the name Salvia miltiorrhiza (redroot sage). RNAcentral describes it as "long non-coding RNA (SMIL_LNC004858)". The record is from RNAcentral. Lineage: Eukaryota; Viridiplantae; Streptophyta; Magnoliopsida; Lamiales; Lamiaceae.
CUAUACUAUGGAAGUAGAAGGAGAGAGAGAGAGAGAGAGAGAGAGAGAGAGAGAGAGAGAGAGUACCUGAGCCAUGAGAAGAGAGAAACUCUGGAAUAUGGAGCUACCGAAGAAUAAAGAUUUGGAAACAAAGUAAAUAGCUUCGACUUUUUUGUUGGGAUGUUUAUUUUUAUCUUGUUUUGAUGGGUAACAUGAAUAAUAAUCGCACCAACACUGCAGGUUAAAUAAAGCAGACGUAUUCUCAUCAUAUAAAACAAAAAUUGAUCAAUAAGCUAUCGUUAUGGCGGCGAAUAAAUAAAAA